GCAAGUCGAGCGCGGGAAGCUAACUGAAACCUUCGGGUGGACGUUUAGUGGAACGAGCGGCGGACGGGUGAGUAACACGUGGGUAACCUGCCUGUAAGACUGGGAUAACUCCGGGAAACCGGGGCUAAUACCGGAUAACACCUCGGAUCGCAUGAUCCGAAGUUGAAAGAUGGUUCUGCUAUCACUUACAGAUGGACCCGCGGCGCAUUAGCUAGUUGGUGAGGUAACGGCUCACCAAGGCGACGACGGGUAACCGGCCUGAGAGGGUGACCGGUCACACUGGGACCGAGACACGGCCCAGACUCCUACGGGAGGCAGCAGUGGGGAAUAUUGCACAAUGGGCGCAAGCCUGAUGCAGCAACGCCGCGUGAGGGAUGAAGGCCUUCGGGUUGUAAACCUCUUUUAGCAGGGAAGAAGCGAAAGUGACGGUACCUGCAGAAAAAGCACCGGCUAACUACGUGCCAGCAGCCGCGGUAAU
RNAcentral lists this ribosomal RNA (478 nucleotides) under uncultured bacterium. RNAcentral's name for it is "bacterial SSU rRNA". It matches the Rfam family "Bacterial small subunit ribosomal RNA", at positions 57 to 524 of the family's 1533-position model. The record is from RNAcentral.